This 305-nucleotide ribosomal RNA is filed under the name uncultured bacterium. RNAcentral's name for it is "bacterial SSU rRNA". It matches the Rfam family "Bacterial small subunit ribosomal RNA", at positions 335 to 638 of the family's 1533-position model. The record is from RNAcentral.
UUGCCUACGGGGGGCAGCAGUGAGGAAUAUUGGUCAAUGGGCGGGAGCCUGAACCAGCCAAGCCGCGUGAAGGAAGAAGGCGCCAAGCGUCGUAAACUUCUUUUGUCGGGGAACAAAGGGCGCCACGUGUGGCGUUGUGAGUGUACCCGAAGAAAAAGCAUCGGCUAACUCCGUGCCAGCAGCCGCGGUAAUACGGAGGAUGCGAGCGUUAUCCGGAUUUAUUGGGUUUAAAGGGUGCGCAGGCGGCGAGUUAAGUCAGCGGUAAAAUUUCGGGGCUCAACCCCGACGAGCCGUUGAAACUGGCU